GGUCUUUGAUUCAUUUGAAAUUCUUUUAGAGUUUGCAUAAUGAAUUCAAAUCUGCCUCUGGCAUAGAGAUUUUUUUUUUUUUUUACCCCUGCAAGGUACUGGGGAUUGAACCCAGGGGCACUUAACCACUCAGCUGUAUCCCCAGCCCAGGGUCUUACUGAGUUGUCCAGACUGGCCUUGAACUUGGGAUCCUCCUCCUUUAGCCUUCUAAGUAGCUGGGAUUACAGAUGUUCGCCAUGGUGCCCAGCUCAGUAUUUUGUUUUAAUUUUGGUAAGAUUGACUCUCUCUUUUUUUCUUUGCAGGGAUUCUGUCUUCCUUUGUUUACUCAUGUUUAUAAAGUAAGUUCAUAAUUAGCUUGUCUAACUUGAAAAAUUUAAUAUUUUUAUUGAUACCACAUUAAAUUUAACUUGGGGAGAACUGACAUAUACUUAAGAUGAAAAAUCUUACUAUCUGAGAACAUGAUACAUCUUUCCAUUUGUACAGUUCUGCUUUUUUGCCUUUCAAGAGAAUGUUUUUGCAUUUUUAUGCAAGUUUUUUAUUUUUUUGGUUGAGACAGUUUCUAACUAUGCUACCCAGACUGCUCUCAAACUCUUGAGCUCAAACAGUCCUCCCACCUCCACUUCUAGAGUAGCUAGGAACACAGGUUUGUACCCCUGUUGCUCCUGGCAGUUUUGCAGAUUGAUUAGGAUUAGAUGAGGUCAUCAGGGUAGACCCCUAUAAUUUAAUACAUGUGGCUUUGUAAGAGAUCAGACAUACUCAUAAGGAAUUAUCCAUACAUACUCAUAAGGAAUUAUCAUACUCAUAAGGAAUUAUCCAUUCUCCUCUGAUUAUUUUUAAUAUACUUAAUUUUUAUCAAAUGUCUUUUAGUAUCUAAAAAAAACCAGCAAUUUCCCUUCUAAGCUCUAUUACUCUGAAGAAUUAUAUUAAUGGAUCUACUAAUAUUGAACUACCCUUGCAUUCCUGGAAUAAACAACACUUAGUCCCUGUUAACACCCAGGGUGGCCUAGAUUGAGGUGUGGUAACAAAUAGCCCCUAACCUUAGGAGCUUACAAGCAUUUAUUUCUUGUUCAUGCUACAUGUCAUACAGUGGGUCAGCUGUUCCAGAACUCAAGGCCUUUGAGUAGCUGCCAUCUGAAACAUUACCUAUUAAGGAAGAAGGAAAAGAUGAUAUUAUGAACCAAGGGUUCUCCCUUAACUUUUGCUUAGAAAUCAUGUCACUUCUACUCACAGAACAAAUUACAUGUCACACCUAUAAGUUCAACAAGGCAGGGAUGUAUAAUCCUCCACAGGAAUGAGCAAUGCAAAGAAGAAGAACCAGAAUAUUCUGUGAAAAACAAUACAGUGUACCACUUAUAUGUCAUUGGGCUUUAAUAUUUUAUUUAGAAUUCUUUCAUCAACUUUCAUAGGGGAAAUCACUCUGUUUAUAUAGUUUCUCACUUGGUAAAAAUAACUUGGACAUAAAAGUAAGACUGCAAGGUAAUUGACACAUAGUAACUAAUGUUAAGUAUUUUGCCAGGCCCAGUGGCAUGCCUGUAAUCCCAGCAGCUCAGGAGGCUGAGGCAGGAGGACCAGCAAAAGCGAGACACUAAGCAACUCAGUGACACCCUGUCUGUAAAUAAAAUACAAAACAGGGCUGGGGAGGUAGUGCCCCUGACUUAAAUCCCCAGUACACCCCCUCCAAAAAAAAAGUAUCUUGAUGGCUUAUUGUUGAAUAAUAAUAAAAGCCUUUUGAUAUUAUACUACAUCUAAAUUAAAAUAUUUUCCUUUUAAAAAGAAAAAAAAAAAAAAGUCCCUUUGGAAAAUUUCUCCUGGAAAGAAGAGGGGAAAAAAUGAAGGAAUUUAGGAAUGAAAAAUACCUUCUCCUGAAAAGCGAAAUUUCACUGACCUGCACCCAACAUGUGUCUUAGGAGUAUGUUUUUAAUAUUUGUCACUUGCCACUUUCCUACCCUGGCUGGUAAAAUGUGAGUUUCUCCGCACACAUUCCAGACAGUACUUUCUACUGAGCAACUGUGCUAAAGUUGGCCAAAGGACAUGCCUGAACAGAGCAGCUUACUAAAGAGGCAAGAAUCUUCCUGUGGGAGUAGCCUGGAGGUUUUCCUAUCAGCCUCUGCCCCCUGAAAUCCCCCACCCUACCAAGUCUAUGAGCCUCCUGUGUAAACAGCAGCUUUUGCCUGGGCAUCCAACAAGCAAACAUUGCCUCACCUGUAAGGCAGGCGAUUUGUUAAUGUUUAUUCAUAUUUUUCAUAUAGAUAAACCAAACUGAAAACAAGUAGCCCAAUGGCCUAAGGCCACUUCCAGAGCUGCUUGCUUCCUCAAAGUCCCCUGGAGCACUGCUGCUUGAGUAUUUUCCUUACCUUUCCCAUAGCAAAGGACACCAUGCAUCAAGUUCUGGCUGUUUCCCAUAUAAGUAAUUUAGUUCAGCUUCAUCUUUGGUAUAUAACUUUACCAAAAUUGGGCAUAAUAAAACCCUGUCUUAAGGUAUUAUCAAGUCCCUGGGUUAGUGAAUAGAGAAUAUUCACUAAUAUUCACCUAAUAUUUGGAGGCGAAAGCCAACUAAUUCUAGAAAAUGGAAACAAAUGACAAUGAAAUUUGUGAUAGUUAUCUGAGUUCUACAGGUCCUGUUAGUACACAUUCAGCACAUUUCAGUCUCUGAAAUCUUCAUUAAUAGUUAAUAUAAUACUUACUCCAAAAUCUCUGACAGACACAAACUACAUUCAAAUGUUAACACUGGCAUUCACAUUAUGGCCAACCUACCUUCCCAGCCUUUUCUUUUACUUUAUCUACAGCUAACCUAAACACUGGCCAAACUGGAAGUCUUUCUUCUGAGACAUAGCUCCUGCCUGCCUCCGUGGGUGUUUUGUGUGUGUGUGUGUGUGUGUGUGUUUGUGGUUUUUUUAAUAUUUAUUUUUUAGCUUUAGGUGGACACAAUAUCUUUAUUUUUAUGUGGUGCUGAGGAUCGCAUGCCAGGCAAGCAUGCUACCACUUGAGCCACAUCCCCAGCCCUCCUUGGGCGUUUUUGUUCUUGCUGUUUUUCCCAGCGGAAGGCACUCUCCAUCAUGUCUGCUUAUCAAAACCUACAAGAGUUCAAGGCCAAUUGGGACACUGUUCCACACAUCUAUAAUUCUGACAGUUCUCGAAAGCUCUUUCUCCAGUCUGGGCUCUUUUUAAUGGGAUGUGCUAGGGGCACUUGUUCCAACUGGGCUCAUGGCAAAAAGUCACCUUCUCCUCUAAUGACAAUAUGCAUUAUCCAAGACAUCAUCCACGUAGUUAAUGGGAGUCAAGACUGAGUCACAGUGAUUACAGGAUAUACAGGAAGUAUAACACACAUCAUUGCUAUCCUUAAAGAACAGGAAAGACAAUGUCUACUACAAUGACCAAGUUUCAGCUUGUUCAGAAUUACCCACAAAGAUGCUAUAUACAUAAAUGGAAGUGAACUUGAAAAAAUACCUGGUGGGGCGUGGUGGUGCACACAAGUAAUUCCAGGUACUUUGGAGGCUGAGGCAGGAGGAUUGAAAGUUUGAGCCAGCCUGAGCAACUCAGUGAAACACUGUCUCAAAAUUUAAAAUAUUAAAAAGGCCAGGGUAUAGCUUAGAGAGCACUUGCCUAGUAUAUGCAGGUCCCUGAGAUCAAUUCCCAGCACCAAAAAAUUACCAAAAAUAAAAGCCAAAGAUGGUAACUCUCAAGUAGAAAUAGUAGUUUUUCACUAUUUCCUGUCAUUUGGAUUAAAAAGCCUCUUCAUUGAGUCAAAUUGUACACAAACAAAAACUGUCACUUGCUUUUACUUCAGGCCCACCCCAUUUUACUAUGCUUUGGCCGUAGCAAUGAAACAAAAAACCCUAACAUACACGGAAAGGAAGUAAAAGUUGUCAAAGAAGUGUCAGAUCUGAAGCAAUACAUAAUCUGACAUAUACACAAUAGUAUGUAAUUGUUAAAGAAUAAAGGGGCACCAAAAUCUGUGUACAGUGAGCUAUUAUUUUAAAAGACUUUGGAGGUUGUAAUACUUAGCAAUGAACACACUUGCUCUCAGGGAAACAGAAUGAUUUUUCACUGUAUAAACAAAGAACAUUAAGUGUAUUUUUAAGGCACAAACUCUAGAAUAGAAUGAUUAAACAUCUCAUACUCUACUGGCAUGUUUUUUUUUUUUUCCCUGACAAGUUUUUUCUCCAAAGAAUAUUAAGAAUGCAAGAAAGAUCUUAUGAAUAUCCCUCACUGUAGACAAUUACAAUUAUAUUAUGCCUCAUAAUACUAAGAAGGUUAAAUGGGCCUUUUCAAAGCAAACAUACCAUAACUUCUGUUUUUGUAAAUUCUGAUUCUCAGAAGGAAAAUCUUUUAAAGCUUCACAAUAUCGUUUCUUGUACAACUAAUACUAGCUAAGAAUACAAUGCUCUAAUAUGUGGUUAAAUGGCUUGGAAAGCAGAAGGUUAAGGACCUACUAGCUUUAAACUCACUUUUCCACAAUAAUUUUAUACAUAUUUAUGUACAUACAUAAGCUUUCAAACUUUUGGGAUGUUUUGGUAUUAAAGCAAUUUUGCAAAUCUUUAAUCAGACACACAGUCGGGAACUGAAAUAAAAACAAGAAGGAACAAAAAAAAAGCAAACACAAAUUUCCAAAAUGAUUUUGAGAAUGCCCACAAGCUACAUAACUACUAACAUGAAUUCAGGGUAGAAUGACCAAAACAAAAGUACCUGGUCUUUUCUCAGCAGUCUAAUGCCAAAACUUUAAAAGCUUCUUUAAUGCUAGUAAACCUUAGCCUUUUUAUUGAUGGAGCUAAAAAUUAGGGGGAAGGGGUGGGGAGAGGAAAAGAAAUGAGAACCAACAGAGAUCAACAUUUUAUUAUUAAUACUCAUUCCUUUUGUCUUAUGCUUUGCUUUUAUAUAAAUACAGACCACUUAAAUAAAUUACCUUAUAAACUUAUAAUAAAAAUAUUUUGAUUUAAUUUAAAAACCACAAUAGCAUUUGUUUGUGGUCAAAUUAGAAUUAUACCCACAUUACCAUAUGCCCACACCUAGAGCCAAGAGAACUGGCUCACAGGAGUGUCUGCACGCAGAUGGCUGUCAUUCCUGGUGAGCACAUGGUGGAGAUGAGAGAGGCCAAACUUGAAGAAUGCUGUCAUUCUAAUUACUUUUACUCCAUUUUUUUACUAUAUCUUCUCUCUGACCACGAACACAGGAAUCUUCUGCCCAUCCUUGGGCUCCAAGACAACCUCCUGAAGUUGCCACCUAAAAAGCCAAAAGGAUUGUCUCUUUAAUCUACAAAUCAGAAGCAAAAUACGUGGUCCAAAAGUAAUGGAGAAGUAGAGGAUAGGAAAGGCAGCAGAACACAACAGACACUAGUAUGGCAAUAUGUAAAUCAAUGGAUGUGUAACUGAUGUAAUUCUGCAAUCUGUAUAUGGGGUAAAAAUGGGAGUUCAUAACCCACUUGAAUCAAAGUGUGAAAUAUGAUAUAUCAAGAAAUUUGUAAUGUUUUGAACAACCAACAAUAAAAAAUUUAAAAAAAAAAGAAUAAUAAUGUCUUGGGCUGGGAUUGUGGCUCAGUGGUAGAGCACUUGCCUAGCACAGGCGAGGCCCUGGGUUCGAUCCUCAGCACUACGUAAAAAUAAAUAAGUAAAACAGAGAUAUUGUGUCCAACUACAACUAAAAAAAUAAAAGAACAUGAUUUUAAAAAGAAGAAGAAUGUCAACAUUUUUAAAACAUAAUUUUACAUCAGUGCUGUGUUAACAUCAUGUUUUAACAUUCUGCACUGGGCUCUCAUUAUUUAAUCAAGGCAGGUUUAUGGAUCACUGACUGACAGGUGAAUGGAAGGGGCAUCAGGAAGGAGAGGGAGCAGCUUAUUUCCCAUUUCCUAAUUCACAUCAACCUUCAAUUCCUGGCCUGGAAUCCAGCCAGCUCCUCCACUAAUCCCAGGCUCAGAGGUCAAUGAGCCCAGGGUGAGGUAGGUGGGGGCUGCCUUAGGGCUGCCUGUUCCUUUUGUCCUCAGGAAUUAAAAUACAUCCUGGCUAAACAGCAAACAUCUCUGAGAGAGGCUUCCUGUGGGGGAAAUGAGUGGAUGUAGCUAUUGGCAACCAGACAAGAAAAGCCAAUUAACUGGGUGGAGGGCUUAUGCUGAGAAUGUGAUGAAUAAUUUUGGAUUAGGACUCCAUGCCUUUAUUCGCUUGUAAUGACUGAGGCAGCAGAGUUAGAAGCUGGAAUACAGCAUCAAAUUAUUGUAGACUAAACCACUAUAACUAUCAAGUGUUUCAAAUUCAGCAGCAGGAAGAGAGGACAAUUCAGUAGAUUGUAUUGGAUAAAUUGUCUGGACUGAGCUAAAAGCCAAAGCACGGACUCGCUGCCCAGCCACGAAGCUUUCAGCUUCCAGCUUUGAAAACGAAUUCUUAUUACUGCCAUCAUUUAGCGACAAAUGAAUCAGGGUUGGUUUUUUUGUUGUGGUUUUUUUUUGUUUGUUUGUUUUUUGUUUUGUUUUCCAUCAGGAGAUUCUCUACUCCCCAACAUCCUACCACUUUCCCAUAACACCUUUGAAAGAGGGCAACUCUGGGUGAUCUGGUGUAGAGAUGGCCCUCUGACUUGGAUCCAAAAACAGGAAUUUUCAACAGUGGGUGUAAAUUGUCAGAGAGGAGAAAUGCAAUUUGAGACAUCGUUAUCAUCUCAAAACUAUCAAAACAGGGCUUCCUAGAGCCAGGUCUAUAAAAUCCAAUAAUUAGCUGCAGAAUCAAGUUGUUUUCUAACAGCCCAUCUGGAGAAUCCAACUGUUUUUCCAAAUGUUCUGCCCUCUUUACAUGUUUUGGUGAGGUCAAUGGCAGACCUUUCAUUUGGCAAAAAUGUUUUUAUACAUCAAAAUAAUAAGAUGAAUUCAUAAACAAAAAUACAGCUAAGUGAAUAGGCUUGGGAUAAACAAGUAGAGCAAAACGCUAAAUGUGGACUACAAAUAGCAGCUAUUGGGUGUUCACAGUAUAAGUUCUAUCUUUUCUGAAUGUUUGAAAAUUUCUAUACUAAAAUAGGGAAGAAAUAAGAUAAAAAAUGAAAUCCACUGUUAAAUAGAGAAACUAUUACCAGCAAAUUUUGGCCUGGACCAUAAAGAACAGGCUUUAAGGAAAAAGAACUGUUGGACAUCCACAGGGUCUGCAUCUGGGAAUUCAACCAACAGAGGAUCAAAAAUAUUUUUAAAAAUGCACAGACUUAAGCUGGAGAUGUGGCUCAAGCUGUAACGUGCUCUCCUGGCAUGUAGGGGGCGCUAGGUUUGAUCCUCAGCACCACAUAAAAUAAAAUAAAGAUGUUGUGUUCACCGAAAACUAAAAAAUAAAUAUUAAAAAAAAUUCUCUCUCCCCCCCACCUCUAAAAAAAAAAUGUACAGACUUGCAGGCUGGGAUUAUGGCUCAGUGGUAGAAUGCUUGCCUAGCAUUGGAGAGGCACUGGGUUCAAUCCCCAGCACCACAUAAAAAUAAAAACAAAUAAAAUAAAGGUAUUGUGUCCAUCUACAACUACAAAAAAAAAAUUUAAAAAUGAACAGACUUGGGCUGGGGUGUGACUCAGUGGUAGAGCACUUACCUAGCAAGUGUGAGGCACUGAGUUUGAUCCUUACACCACAUAAAAAUAAAUAAAGGUAUUUUUUUAAAUACACAGAGUUUUGUCAUUAUUUCCUAAACAAUAAGUAUGACAUUUAUUUACACACUGUUUACAUUGUGCUAGUUAUAGGUAAUCUAUUGACAAUUUAAAGUAAAUGAAAGGGUGUGCAUAGUUUAUAUCCAAAUACAGCUAAUCCUUGAACAACAAAUGUUUGUGCAGUGGAGGUCACUCAUAUUUGGGCUAUUAUUUUGGAGAGAUCUUUGACAAUUAAAACAACUUGUAGAAGC
This 7847-nucleotide long non-coding RNA is filed under the name Marmota monax (woodchuck). Lineage: Eukaryota; Metazoa; Chordata; Mammalia; Rodentia; Sciuridae. The record is from RNAcentral.